GCGACAGCGGCAAGACGUGUUUAAUGUGAUUCGUUCUUUCCGUUAUUUUUGUUUCUCAACUUUAGCUAAAUUAAGUUGUAUAAAAUCUUCAAGCAAUUAAUGACACAUAGCUCCAUGCCACCAUUCAACAAAACCCGCCAGCACCAUUCCACCGAAGUUUCUGACUGGUAUAAAUCCCUUUUGAUGUCUCUCACUGAGUCUAAUCCUCUGGCUAGUUAAACCCGUCCCUACAACUUGUUGAGCCGUUGAUCUUCUGGGGAAAACUGCCAGCCAGCAAUCAAAUUACUAUCACGUUACAGCUUUACUUACAGCGGAUCUAGCCAUAGAUGGCGACUCAAGAAUACUCGUGAAUGACUUCACCUGCUCUCUUACCAAUUCCAGUCCUCAUGCCUGGUGGAAGGUGGACUUGGGAACCGAACAUCUUCUCGGUCGCGUCACCAUCGUCAAGAGAGGUGACGGCAUUAAGGGUCGUUUGACUGGUGCUCUUGUGAGGGUAGGCAUAGACAGCGACAUUUUCAACAAUGCCGUGUGUGGGUCAGCAGUGACAUGGGACCAAGCAUCGAUCCCUGGGGUACACAUACGGGUUGUUUGCAACCCGCCUGUAACUGCCCGGUUCGUCAGUGUGGACAACAAGGCUAAUGCGACAGCAUCAGAUGGUGUCAAAAUAAGUCUGUGUGAAGUAAUGGUUGAAGAGGUCCGCCCGGAAGAGGAAUGCCCUAAAACAACAAUUAAGUCAGUUACGGCGCCUUCAUUCACCAAGACGUGCAUGUCCACCUUGCUCUACAACGGGAAAUGUGUAAACGACUCAGGCCCUCUAUUGGCUGAAGUUACCUCGAGGUCACCAAUGCAAUGUUUCCUGAGUUGCAAGAAGAAUAACGAGUGCUUGUAUUUUGACUACGUCAUGACUUCGGGUCAGUGCAGACUCUACGAUGUGAAGGCUGGAGACUUGGAAGCAAUUGAUGAGCCAGGCUGCUUGAUGUAUAUGAUGGGCCGUGCCUAGACAGUUUUGCUAAAAAAAAUAUUCAGUAUUCAGCCGAUCUGAAUAACUUUUUUAAAUAAUUAUUGGAAAGAGAAUGUAGGGUAGUGAUAAUAUUUGAAAAUCAGUUUCUUGUAUAGACCAAUCAGUGAGCACCGGGCGCACAAGUGUUGAGCACCACGCGCCACUGCUGCGUGUGCAGGUGCCUAGUUUUGUGCACAAAGACAUUAGAGGACCAGAUUUAGACAUUUUGUUUUUGUUUCAUUGUUUGAUCGUCACACAAAUUGCAAGAGUUUGUUUUAUGGUUGAUUCUUGUUUAUUUGGUGGUUAUUGAUGACAUAUCCGAAAUCGGACAAGAGUUUCAAGCCAGAAGUGACCUAGUUUGCAUAUUUAAAUUAGGUGGUAAUUAGCAAUCUUUAAGGUCAAUUUCAUGAGGAAAUCAUGUUCCCUUUCACGCUUUAUGGAAAUAAGAUGUUUUCCUCAACGACUUACACAAUUUUCUUAGCAGGACAUCGUGAUAUACCAGUGUAGAAACAAAAUAGAAACCGAAUCAUCUUGAAAAGGGUGCUUGUCUUUGGGUAUAAUUAAUUAAAAAAAUUAUCGUGAAUUUAUUGUAGGGAUCUCGACAUUAUCUCGCCAAUCACGCUAACCCGGAAAAGGUUAACGUUGGAUUUUAACACGGAUUCCAGGUCAUAGCGUACCCGGAAAUGUGACAGACCCAAAUCACACGACCCGGAAGAUAAAAAUGUAUCAUCGUACAACAUUGAAACAAAACGAGUCACGUUUCCCUAAAAUUACAUUAAUUUUCUGCUUGACCACUUUUUUCAUCAUCUUGUAUGACCCAUAAUCUGAGUCACAAUAACCCAGGUAAGCAGGGGUCAAACUAGACUUGAUUCAAGUCCCAUUCUCGUGUGAGAGGUCCCUUAGCAUAAUAUCACCCCCAACUUAUUAUAAAACAACACGUUGCAUACACCGUCCAGUGCCCGCUCGUCGCCGUCAAAAUGUGGUCCCGAGCAUGCGGAACAGGAGAAUAGGGAAUGCAGAGCAUCACAAAAAACAGUAGUUACCUGGGCACGGGAUUGGGACUUGAGUCAAGUCUAGGGUCAAACUUACUUAGAUUAAAUUAUGAAAGAAGAAAGCAAAUGAGAUUUAGUUUCACUCCUGGUCACACUUCUCGGGGUCAGGCUCCCAAAUCCGGUCCAGAACCUUUCGUAUUGUCUUCUUAUUCCCACCAGAUAAUCUUGAAAUCAUUUCCCACCCGAUCAGGGUCAAACGAAAAAUCAGGAGGUCAACAGCUUGCGGGAAAUAAAACUGUUAUUUUAUAGUUUGAUUCAACUAAGAAAGUUGCAGCCUUAAAACAUUGAGGGCGCACUUGGUAUCCCUACAUAAGAGCCAUUGGGAGGAGAGUUGCGACAAUUUGCAACUAGAAGCCAUUUCGUGUCUCAGCUGCCCAUCGGGUUGUGUUGCAUUUGGAAACAAAUGGCGGUCAGCAACCACGUGGCCAAAUAAAACUGGUCACUAUUUCGCAAUUCUCUCGAUCAGAGCUCUGCCCUACAUCAAAACUGUGUAUUGAGAGAGAUUGCACCAUCAGGGAUGACCAGUUUUCUUGGGUCACGUGGUUGCUGGGCGUCAUUAUUUUGAUCCAAACGCACGGAACAACCCAAUGGGCAGACUUAUCUGUUAUCAUGAUUGUAUUCGUCAA
Molecule: RNA transcript, 2678 nt
Organism: Asterias rubens (European starfish)
Lineage: Eukaryota; Metazoa; Echinodermata; Asteroidea; Forcipulatida; Asteriidae
Gene name: fucolectin-6-like
Exons: 6
Source: RefSeq, a predicted model, not a curated record